UGUGACAUGAAGUCAGGCGGACAAACCCGCUGAAUUAAAGCAUAUGAGUAAGCGGAGGAUAAGAAGCUAAACAGGACUCCCCCAGUAAUGGCGAAUGAACAGGGUCACGCUCAGCAUCAAAAUCGGGGCCCGCGGGCCUGAGUUGUAGUCUCUGGAGGUGCUACCAAGAGAGGCGCUGCUGUACGUCUUUUGGAAACGAGCAUCGACGAGGGUGAGGGUCCCGUUUGUCAGCAGCAGCCAACUGUGCACGGUGCACAUUCUAAGAGUCACGUUCCUUGGGAUUGGAGCGCAAUGUGGGUGGUAAGCUUCAUCUCAAGCUACACAUGGGCUCGAGACCGAUAGCAAACAAGUACUAUGAGGGAAAGGUGAAAAGCACUUUGAAAAGAAAGGUAAAGUACCUGAAUUCGCUGAAGAGGAAGUGAGCGAAGCCAGUAUGUCUUGGCGAGAUUGCUGCACACGCGUGCCAGUGCUUGCUGCGCCAGCACUUGUGUGGCAUUAAGCCCCGAGCAAGUCCUGCGCAGUGCUUCUUGCCUUGCCCACCAACGGCUCUCCAUGCUUGAGGACGCUUUCAAGGACACGGUAGCUCCACCCCAUGAAGCGAAUAUUUUUGUUUGCACUCAUGUGAGGGGUGCACGGAGAGUAAAUGGCUCCUCUCGACCCGUCUUGAAACACGGACCAAGGAGUCUAACCUGUGUGCAAGCUUGUGGCCGGGUAAGACCUUUGUGCACAAUCAAAGUGACUGCUGGGAAUUGUUGCACCAGCAACCGACCUGUCAAUUGAGAGAGGUUUGAGUGUGAGCAUAUUUGUUAGGACCCGAAAGAUGGUGAACUAUGCCUGUGAAGGGCAAACUCAGGGGAAACUCUGAUGGAGGCUCAUAGCGAUACUGACGUGCAAAUCGUUCGUCAUACAUGGGUAUAGGGGCGAAAGACUAAUCGAACCAUCUAGUAGCUGGUUCCCUCCGAAGUUUCCCUCAGGAUAGCUGGAGUUGAACAUUUUUAUCAGGUAAAGCCAAUGACUAGAGGAAUUGGGGGCGCCCUGUCUUUGACCUAUUCUCAAACUUUAAAUGGGUAAGAWCCAGUGGUUACGUUGAUGAACUUCGGGGAUAAAUGGCAACUUGAAGUGGGCCAUUUUUGGUAAGCAGAACUGGCGAUGAGGGAUGAACCUAACGUUGGGUUAAAGUGCUUAACUGCUCGCUCAUCAGAUACCAUAAAGGGUGUUGGCUCAUUUUAACAGCAGGACGGUGGUCAUGGAAGUCGAAAUCCGCU
This 1265-nucleotide ribosomal RNA is filed under the name Peridinium willei. RNAcentral describes it as "LSU rRNA". It matches the Rfam family "Eukaryotic large subunit ribosomal RNA", at positions 1 to 1272 of the family's 3401-position model. The record is from RNAcentral. Lineage: Eukaryota; Dinophyceae; Peridiniales; Peridiniaceae.